This 855-nucleotide ribosomal RNA is filed under the name uncultured bacterium. RNAcentral describes it as "bacterial SSU rRNA". It matches the Rfam family "Bacterial small subunit ribosomal RNA", at positions 451 to 1309 of the family's 1533-position model. The record is from RNAcentral.
CCUAUCUACGUGUAGACAGCUGAAGGUACCUGAAGAAUAAGGAUCGGCUAACUCCGUGCCAGCAGCCGCGGUAAUACGGAGGAUCCGAGCGUUAUCCGGAUUUAUUGGGUUUAAAGGGUGCGCAGGCGGACUGGUAAGUCAGGGGUGAAAUUCUACGGCUCAACUGUAGGCGUGCCUUUGAUACUGCCGGACUAGAGUUAAGUUGGAGUGGGCGGAAUGUGUUGUGUAGCGGUGAAAUGCUUAGAUAUAACACAGAACACCGAUCGCGAAGGCAGCUCACUAAACUUAGACUGACGCUCAUGCACGAAAGCGUGGGGAUCAAACAGGAUUAGAUACCCUGGUAGUCCACGCUGUAAACGAUGAUCACUCGCUGUUGGCGAUAUACAGUCAGUGGCUAAGCGAAAGUGAUAAGUGAUCCACCUGGGGAGUACGACCGCAAGGUUGAAACUCAAAGGAAUUGACGGGGGCCCGCACAAGCGGAGGAGCAUGUGGUUUAAUUCGAUGAUACGCGAGGAACCUUACCAGGGCUCGAACGUUCAGCGAUUUACCGUGAAAGCGGUAUUCCCUUCGGGGCGAUGAACGAGGUGCUGCAUGGUUGUCGUCAGCUCGUGCCGUGAGGUGUCAGGUUAAGUCCUAUAACGAGCGCAACCCCUAUCGAUAGUUGCCAGCGGGUAGAGCCGGGCACUCUAUUGAAACUGCCUACGCAAGUAGAGAGGAAGGUGGGGAUGACGUCAAAUCAGCACGGCCCUUAUGUCCUGGGCUACACACGUGCUACAAUGGUCGGUACAGAGGGCCGCUACCNGGUGACCGGAUGCAAAUCUCAAAAGCCGAUCUCAGUUCGGAUCGGAGUCUGCA